UACGGGGGGGGCAAGCGUUGUUCGGAAUUACUGGGCGUAAAGGGUUUGUAGGUGGCUCGCUAAGUCAGACGUGAAAUCCCUCAGCUUAACUGGGGAACUGCGUCUGAGACUGGCAAGCUUGAGUGCAGGAGAGGAACGCGGAAUUCCAGGUGUAGCGGUGAAAUGCGUAGAUAUCAGAAGGAACGCCGGUGGCGAAAGCGACUCUCUGGCCCGUAUCUGACGCUGAGGCGCGAAAGCUUGGGUAGCAAACGGG
RNAcentral lists this ribosomal RNA (253 nucleotides) under uncultured bacterium. RNAcentral's name for it is "partial 16S ribosomal RNA". It matches the Rfam family "Bacterial small subunit ribosomal RNA", at positions 524 to 776 of the family's 1533-position model. The record is from RNAcentral.